This 826-nucleotide ribosomal RNA is filed under the name uncultured bacterium. RNAcentral describes it as "bacterial SSU rRNA". It matches the Rfam family "Bacterial small subunit ribosomal RNA", at positions 681 to 1503 of the family's 1533-position model. The record is from RNAcentral.
GUGAAAUGCGUAGAUAUCAAGAGGAACACCCAUGGCGAAGGCAGCUCGCUGGCCUAUAACUGACGCUGAGGCGCGAAAGCUGGGGGAGCGAACAGGAUUAGAUACCCUGGUAGUCCCAGCCGUAAACGAUGGAUACUAGGUGUCAGGGGUAUCGACCCCCCUGGUGCCGCCGCUAACGCAGUAAGUAUCCCGCCUGGGGAGUACGGCCGCAAGGUUGAAACUCAAAGGAAUUGACGGGGGCCCGCACAAGCGGUGGAGCAUGUGCAUUAAUUCGUCACUAACCGAAGAACCUUACCAGGGUUUGACAUCCUCUGACCGCCGGUGAAAGUUGGUUUUCCCCGCAAGGGGACAGAGAGACAGGUGUUGCAUGGUUGUCGUCAGCUCGUGUCGUGAGAUGUUGGGUUAAGUCCCGCAACGAGCGCAACCCUCACCCAAUGUUGGCAGCGUCAAGUCGGCCACUCUUUGGGAACUGCCCGUGUAAGCGGGAGGAAGGUGGGGAUGACGUCAAAUCGGCAUGGCCCUUACAUCCUGGGCUUGACACAUGCUACAAUGGACGUUUAACAGAGCGACGCGAGGCCGCGAGGCGGAGCCAAUCGCAGAAAUACGUUCUCAGUUCGGAUCGCAGGCUGCAACUCGCCUGCGUGAAGUCGGAAUCGCUAGUAACCGCCGGUCAGCUAAACGGCGGUGAAUACGUUCCCGGGCCUUGUACACACUGCCCGUCAAGUCACCUGAGUUGUCUGCAGCCGAAGUCAGUGGCCUAACCUUCGGGGAGGAGCUGCCUAAGCUGUGGGGAGCGAGGGGGACUAAGUCGUAACAAGGUAACCGU